This 492-nucleotide ribosomal RNA is filed under the name uncultured bacterium. RNAcentral describes it as "partial 16S ribosomal RNA". It matches the Rfam family "Bacterial small subunit ribosomal RNA", at positions 28 to 507 of the family's 1533-position model. The record is from RNAcentral.
GAUGAACGCUAGCUACAGGCUUAACACAUGCAAGUCGAGGGGAAACGACAUCGAAAGCUUGCUUUUGAUGGGCGUCGACCGGCGCACGGGUGAGUAACGCGUAUCCAACCUGCCCACCACUUGGGGAUAACCUUGCGAAAGUAAGACUAAUACCCAAUGAUAUCCCACGAAGACAUCUGAAUGGGAUUAAAGAUUUAUCGGUGAUGGAUGGUGAUGCGUCUGAUUAGCUUGUUGGCGGGGUAACGGCCCACCAAGGCAACGAUCAGUAGGGGUUCUGAGAGGCAGGUCCACCACAUUGGAACUGAGACACGGUCCAAUCUCCGACGGGAGGCAGCAGUGAGGAAUAUUAGGCGAUGAGCGCGAGUCUGGACCAGCCGAGUGGCGUACAAGAAGACGGGCCUAUGGGUUGUAAACUGCUUUUAUAAGAGAAUAAAGUGGGUAACGUGUGACUUUUUGAAGGUACCUUAUGAAUAAGGACCGGCUAAUUCCGUG